RNAcentral lists this ribosomal RNA (202 nucleotides) under uncultured Lactobacillus sp. RNAcentral's name for it is "partial 16S ribosomal RNA". It matches the Rfam family "Bacterial small subunit ribosomal RNA", at positions 159 to 355 of the family's 1533-position model. The record is from RNAcentral. Lineage: Bacteria; Bacillati; Bacillota; Bacilli; Lactobacillales; Lactobacillaceae.
GAUGCUAAUACCGGAUAACAACAGAUGAUGCCUAUCAACUGUUUAAAAGAUGGUUCUGCUAUCACUCUUGGAUGGACCUGCGGUGCAUUAGCUAGUUGGUAGGGUAACGGCCUACCAAGGCGAUGAUGCAUAGCCGAGUUGAGAGACUGAUCGGCCACAUUGGGACUGAGACACGGCCCAAACUCCUACGGGAGGCAGCAGC